This is a long non-coding RNA of Aethalodelphis obliquidens (Pacific white-sided dolphin), 2108 nucleotides long. RefSeq lists it as uncharacterized. The record is from RefSeq and is a predicted model, not a curated record. NCBI's taxonomy places the organism in Eukaryota, Metazoa, Chordata, Mammalia, Artiodactyla, Delphinidae. The transcript is spliced from 2 exons.
UGCGGGAUCUAGUUCCCUAACCAGGGAUCGAACCGAGACCCCCUGCAUUGGGAGCGUGGAGUCUUAACCACUGGACCACCAGGGAAGUCCCAAGGGUCCCCUGUUUUAGAACAUGGAGAAAGGCAUCGGUUGGUGCCUGAGGGGAAGGGUCUGUAGGGAGGGAGAGGGUACAGAGGAAAGAGGGGCCGAGGAUCCAGGGAGGGUCCAAGGAAGGUUUGAGGGGGCCGGAAGGAUUUAAGCCCAGACUCCCCAGAUAUGCAGGGAAGUAGAAGAAAAAGGUGGCCCUCCAUAGGGCCCAGGGCUAUCCGUGGGGUCUCCCAGCCAUGAGGCAUUAAACAGGUGUACGGUGCAGGCUGGUGGGUGGGUUGUUGCUGCUUCUCUGACCCUCAGUAUCCUCUGGGGCAGACAUGGCUCACCCCAGUAUUUGCCCUUCCCCUCCUGCUCCAAGGAGCUCCAACCCAGAAAGGGAGGAGGUGUGCCAAGACCAGGGGCCACCCCCUUCCUCCUCUGGUGGCUCACCAGCCGCAUGGGGUGGGGUGAAGCCCACCCUUACAACGAGUUCGAUCUGGCAGCUUUAAACUGGGCCAGACUUUCAACAACUGAAAAUGUCCAGAAAGUUAGGAAUUCAACAGUACUCUGCUGAAAACAGGGAGCAGAGAAAAACAGAUUUAUAGUCAUGCCUCCUACUGAGUUUAUAUUCCUGAAUAAAUGUAGUUACAAUAAUAACAAAUUCCCUGGCGGUCCAGUGGUUAGGACUCGGUGCUUUCACUGCCUGGGGCCUGGGUUCAGUUCCUGGUCGGGGAACUAAGAUCCCGAGAAAAAACCAACCAACCAACCAACCAACCAACCAAAACGUAGUUACAAUAAUAAUAAUGUUGCAAGAGGUAUUAUGUCUUUCUUCCCCACACUCCAUUUUUAUUAGAUGGAAAUUAUGACACAAAAUAGGUCCCGGGUUAUUGCAUUUGAUGUCUGACAGCGAUCUUAGAAGUAACGUGUCCAAAACUGAACCGGAUUUAUUUCUGUUGCCAUCCCCCAGCGCCCCUCCCUCAACCACGUCUCCCCCAUCUCAGGAAAUGCUACUGGGAGCCAGCCUCAGUCCCUCUUUUUCUGUCUCCCCAAGCAUCCAGUCCAUCAGCAAGUCCUGCAGUCCUGACAGGGAUAAGCGCUCCCAAAUCUGACCUGGCACGACCGCCCCGGCCCCAGCUCCCUCUUCACUCCUGGCUGUGCAGCAGUUUCCUCACCAGGCCUGCAGCUUCCCUCUCAGCCCCUCCACACCCGCCGGAGGGUCAUUUUAUUUUCUUUUUGGCCAACAUUUGUUCAUGAUUUUUAUUUUUUAAUAAAAACUGAAUAGAACUGCAAUUCCCCUCCUAGAUGUAUACCUAAAAGAAUUGAAAACGGGUACUCACGCGGGUAUGUGGGUACACAUGGCCAUUGCAGCCCUAUUCACAGUAGCCAAAAAGUAGCCAAAUGACUAUGAAUGGAUGAAUGGAUAAACACAAUGGGGUCUAUCUGUACAACGGACUACCAUUCAGCCACGAAAAAGAAGGAAGUACUGAUACAUACCACAAUGUGGAUGAACCUUGAAAACAUUGUCCUUAAUGAAAGAGGCAAGACACAGAGGAUCAAAUUAUGUCUGGUUCCAUUGAUAUCUGAAAUAUCCAGCAUAGGCAAAUCCAGAGACAGAACACAGAUUGGUGGCUGUCAGGGGUUGGGGGGAGGGGUGAGAGAAACUGCUUAACAGGGUGUGGGUGUUAUUUUGGGGUGAUGGAGAUGUUUUGGAACUAGACAGACAUGGUGCUUGCACAGCCUUGCCAGUGUACUAAAUGCCCCUGAAUUGUUCACUUGAAAAUUGUUAAUUUUAUGUUCUGUGAAUUUCACAUCAAUAAGUUAUUUGUUUUCAUUGACAGGUACAUCUCAAGUAUUGGUCAGGAGCUGUGAUACACAAACGCUCCUGUACUUGCUUCUCGUUUCCCUCUUCCUCCCCUAAAGUUUGCAUAAAUGAAUCAUGCUUUAUAUAGUCUAUGUGAACUGUUUUUGUACUCAAGAACUGUGAUUCAUCCACGUCGCUCUGCAUAGUUGCAAUAAAGUUCUCUCUGCUGUAUACUAUU